RNAcentral lists this ribosomal RNA (619 nucleotides) under uncultured bacterium. RNAcentral describes it as "bacterial SSU rRNA". It matches the Rfam family "Bacterial small subunit ribosomal RNA", at positions 35 to 693 of the family's 1533-position model. The record is from RNAcentral.
GCUGCGGCGUCCUAACACAUCAAGUCGACGAGAAAGUGAGCAAUCCAUGAGUAAAGUGGGUACGGGUGAGUAACACGUGACUAACCUACCCUUGUGUGGGGAUAACUUUCGGGAAACCGAGGCUAAUACCGCAUAAUACCUUCGGGUCAAAGGAGUAAUUCGCUUAAGGAGGGGUUCGCGGCUGAUUAGCUAGUUGGUAGGGUAAUGGCCUACCAAGGCAAUGAUCAGUAUCCGGCCUGAGAGGGCGCACGGACACACUGGAACUGAAACACGGUCCAGACUCCUACGGGAGGCAGCAGUGGGGAAUUUGCACAAUGGGGGAAACCCUGAUGCAGCAACGCCGCGUGGAGGAUGAAGUCCCUUGGGAUGUAAACUCCUUUCGACCGGGACGAUAAUGACGGUACCGGUGGAAGAAGCCCCGGCUAACUCUGUGCCAGCAGCCGCGGUAAUACAGAGGGGGCAAGCGUUGUUCGGAAUUAUUGGGCGUAAAGGGUGCGUAGGCGGUGCGGUAAGUCUUCUGUGAAAUCUCCGGGCUCAACUCGGAGUCUGCAGGAGAAACUGCCGUGCUUGAGUAUGGGAGAGGUGAGUGGAAUUCCUGGUGUAGCGGUGAAAUGCGUAG